AACUCACGCACACCUGGGACUCCUCCAGCUGCCGCCUGCCGCAGCCCCCUUCCCGCCAUGUGACCUAAUCGUCACUCCACCUGCUUCUCUUCAGGGCUGCCAGCCCCAUCCCUGCAGUGCCAAAAUGAGACCUGGGGAGGUUUGAACAAGACCUACCUUCUCCAUGCCCGAACCAGCCAACUCCCAGGAAUUUCACGGCAAAUUAGGAGAGAUUGAGGUACACUGGAAGGAAAGGCCAGAUCUGGCAAUGAAUCAGCUUGGUUGUUUGGGGAUCAAAUAAAAUUGGACCCGCAGCCUCGGCUCUACAACAGAAUCACAGUCUCUCUUUCGGCCUGGUAGGUGCGCUGGGUGGAGAGAACAUGCACAGCUGUUGGGGCCCCCUUCUUUACAUACGGAUGUUGGUUUAAAAUUCUGAAAUACAACAAGGAGGAGAGGCGAGAGCUGGGGUCUGGGUCUUUGAAGUGCACAGAGGGCUUCUAUUCAGCUGACUAAGAGUGCUGGGGUAAGAAGUCUCACUAACACCUGAUCUGCAUCUUAGGAAGGUCAAGAUCCAGAGAAGAAGAUGGACGAGCUGUCCACAGACACCCGACUUUCCAGCCCAGGAAGAGAGACAGAGCCAGAGAAGCUGCUGGUUCUGUUUGGGGUUCAGCAACUUCUGGUGGAGGAGAUGGGGUCGGAGCUGAGAUUUGAGAGGUGCAAGGUGGUGUCCUUCUCUCCAUGACCUAUCGGCGGGACACUGCUCUAUUGUGUCUGACGUUGUUUUGCAGCAUCCUUGCCUCAACCUUCUGUCAUGAGAGCAGUCCAAGGUUAACAGCGGUAAUCACCUGUGGAAACUGCCAACAAACAUGAAUAACUCUUCUGGGGCCAAUUUUUCUCAAGGAAGUAAUAAAGCAGUCUUGUGGCUCCUGGCAGGACGCAUGGAUGUCUUUCUCAGGCUCCUCACUGCCUCGUGACUCUGAGCAUACAACGCACUCUGCUCAUCCACUGCCUUUGGGAAGGAGAAUCGAUUGACUCACACCUCAUUUUGAUGGUGCGAAUCAGUCAAUCAAUCAGUUGAAAGUACUCACUGUGUGCUUGGUGUUGCCAUUUCUUUGUGCCCAAAGUGCAGAAAAGAUGAAAAAAUGAGAAGAUAAAGCAUGCCGACUGUAUAAGUAAGCAAAUUUGUUCUUUUAAAACAGAGUGUCACUUUCAGAAGUUGCUGGAGUGACCAGUGCAGUUUUU
Molecule: long non-coding RNA, 1221 nt
Filed under: Marmota monax (woodchuck)
Lineage: Eukaryota; Metazoa; Chordata; Mammalia; Rodentia; Sciuridae
Source: RNAcentral